RNAcentral lists this ribosomal RNA (484 nucleotides) under uncultured bacterium. RNAcentral's name for it is "partial 16S ribosomal RNA". It matches the Rfam family "Bacterial small subunit ribosomal RNA", at positions 30 to 507 of the family's 1533-position model. The record is from RNAcentral.
AUUGAACGCUAGCGGGAUGCUUUACACAUGCAAGUCGAACGGCAGCGCGGACUUCGGUCUGGCGGCGAGUGGCGAACGGGUGAGUAAUGUAUCGGAACGUGCCCAGUAGCGGGGGAUAACUACGCGAAAGCGUAGCUAAUACCGCAUACGCCCUACGGGGGAAAGCAGGGGAUCGUAAGACCUUGCACUAUUGGAGCGGCCGAUAUCGGAUUAGCUAGUUGGUGAGGUAACGGCUCACCAAGGCGACGAUCCGUAGCUGGUUUGAGAGGACGACCAGCCACACUGGGACUGAGACACGGCCCAGACUCCUACGGGAGGCAGCAGUGGGGAAUUUUGGACAAUGGGGGCAACCCUGAUCCAGCCAUCCCGCGUGUGCGAUGAAGGCCUUCGGGUUGUAAAGCACUUUUGGCAGGAAAGAAACGUCGCGGGCUAAUACCCCGUGGAACUGACGGUACCUGCAGAAUAAGCACCGGCUAGCUACGUG